Molecule: unclassified non-coding RNA, 1580 nt
Filed under: Actinia tenebrosa (Australian red waratah sea anemone)
Lineage: Eukaryota; Metazoa; Cnidaria; Anthozoa; Actiniaria; Actiniidae
Description: mucosa-associated lymphoid tissue lymphoma translocation protein 1-like, transcript variant X2
Source: RNAcentral
AUGGCUGACAAGUCAAAAACUAGUUCAAAGCUUCUCGUAAAAACUCCACUAUCUAACUUAAACCCCAAUGUUCUAGAGGAGCUUGGAAUGUUCCUAAAUCCAAGAUUAAUUUCAAAAGAUGUAAGAACACUAAGUGGAAAGCUUGGUUAUUCGUUGCGACGAGUGCAAAACUUCGAGAGAGAGCGGAAUCCCACAGCGUGCAUGCUCGAGGAUUGGUCGACGUGUUACGAAGAAGGCCAAGAAAAGACUGUUUCUGAGCUUUUAGUCAAGCUUGAGGAAAUGAAGAGACAUGACGCUGUUGAUUUUUUGAAACCUUACGAGUUUUCAGAAGUACAACAGGAAUCGUCAUUACAACCUGAGGAAAAUGAUUUACCAAUUCAUGAGGACUCUUUAGUGAAUACCCUUCUUGAAGCUCCAAGAUUUACAGAAAUUCCAGUUGUUACAGAUAAAGUGGCACUGGUGAUUGGUAAUAUGAAAUAUAGUCAUGAGAAACUGAAUCAGCUGAUGUACCCAGAACAUGAUGCAAGAGAUGUGGCUGCAGCAUUGCAUGAGCUAGAAUUCAAGGUUUUUUCCCUGGUCAAUUUGACACUGAGUGAGAUGAGAAUUACAGUUCAUUCAUUCUGCAGGCUUCUGGGAAAGGGAGUAUAUGCUGUUCUGUACUAUGCAGGGCAUGGAUAUGAAGAUCACGGAAAGAACUACCUCAUUCCAGUAGAUGCAGACUUGUCAUUCAAGAGAGAGGACAGCUUCUGUGCUCAGGAAAUCUUGCAAACCAUGCAGGAAUGCAAUACGUCACUAAAUCUACUCAUUAUAGAUGCAUGUAGAGUAAGGCCUCCAACCAAAGAUCAGAUUCCAACAUUCAUUAAACGAGGAACAAAUGGCAAUAAUAUCUUUGCAUAUUCAUGCUGCUCACAACAAGUAGCCUUUGAAGAGCAUGACCAGAGGAACGGUCUCUACGCUCAGCAUCUAUUGAAACAUAUUAGAAGGAAUGUCAGGAUUGAGAACAUCUUGAUGGAUGUUGCUGCAGAUGUUGCCCUUACCAUCAGUUAUUGCACUGACAACAGCAUUCACCAAAGACCAUGCCAUGAAAGUGAUGCUUACAUCGAUUGCAGACUUACUGAUCCAAUUAUCCCAGGAGUCUUACAGGAUGUAGAUUAUCAUGAGAGGAUGCAACUAUGGCAAAAGGCUCACACCCUGCCAGAUCCUUUUGUGAUCCUGGAAAAUGAGGACCUACAUCUAAAGGUUCAAUUUAUUGCGAAGUUCUCCAAUGUAAUGGAGGUAUUGCUGACAUUAUGUAACAAAACAUCUCUUCCAAUGAAAGACUGUGUGGUGGAACUCAUUGUGGAUUCAUUUGUUCAGAUAUCACCAUGAUAUCAGGAGAUGAAGUCAAGCCUGGUGAACAGCUCAAACAAGUUGUUCAAAUAUCUGCUUUGCAAAAGCUAAACGACUAUCUAGCCGUUGACCUCCAAAUCUUUUAUGAUUUCAAUGGAGAGUUAGUCAGUUGGACUUCAUCUAAGGUUGACCUGAGAACUCCUCUAAUUUCCUCUGUCUUCGCGGAAUGGGACUGGUGGGUUACCUGUGGU